UAUUCUUAGUAGAGACGGGGUUUCACCAGGCUGGCCAGGCUGGUCACGAACUCCUGACCUCAAGAGAUCCACCCACCUCAGUCUCCCAAAUUGCUGGGAUUACAGGUGUGAGCCACCGCGCACCCAGCCUUUAAAAAAAAAAAAAAAAAAAAAAAAGACUACCAUAGGCCGGGCACCGUGGGAGUCCGAGGCGGGCAGAUCACGAAGUCAGGAGCUCGAGACCAGCCUGACCAACAAGGUGAAACCCCACCUCUACUAAAAAUACAAAAAUCAGCUGGGCGUGGUGGCAUGCACCUGUAAUCCCAGCUACUCAGGAGGCUGAGGCAGGAGAAUCACUUGAACCUGGGAGGUGGAGGUUGCGGUGAGCUGAGACAGUGCCACUGCACUCCAGCCUGGGUAACAGAACAAGACUCCACAUCUCAAAAAAAAAAGACUCUACCACCAAAGGCUGACAAUUUCAUAUUCAUCUAUUAGAUCUGUCCCAAAACAAGCAAAGUAAAUAAUACAGAGCCUCCUUUCAAUUCAGUCAUGAAGCUGGGCACCAUGUGGCCCACCUGUGGGUCCAGCUACUUGGGAGUUUGUGGCAGGAGAAUCCCUUGAGCCCAGGAAUUAGAGCCUGUAGUGUGCAGUGAUCAAGUCUGCAAAUAGCCACUGCACUCCAGCCUGGGCAACAAAGCAAGACCCUGUCUCUAAAAAUAAUAAUAAUAAUAGUAUCAGUCAUAGAACCUACAGCUAAGAAAAAAAAAGAAAAAAGCAUCAGAUGGUAUUUCCAGCCAAAGCAAACGUUUAAAUGUGUACUGGCAAACCAACAAAUGCCACUAUGAUGAAACAUCAAGUUUAGGAGACCAUAUCAAUAAACCACCAAGUUUCAAACAGUCCUAAUUGAAGGAUAUAAACUGUACUAUAUCUUACAGGGGCGGGGGAACCCUAAUUUUAAAAACUGAACACAAUAAAAAUCUAUAGACAAACAAUGGAAUUACAUAAAUUAGCUGAGACAGUUCUUAGACUACAUAAAAAUAAUUUCUUGAAAGUAAGGUUUCAGUAGUCAGCAAAUCCUUUUUUUUUUUUUUUUUUUUUUUUUUGAGAAAGAGUCUUGCUCUGUCACCCCAGGCUGGAGUGCAGUGGAGCAAUCUCGGCUCACUGUAACCUCCGCCUCCCGGGCACAGGCAAUUCUCCUGCCUCAGCCUCCCAGUAGCUGCGAUUACACGCAUGCGCUACCAUGCCCAGCUAAUUUUGUAAGAUGGGGUUUCACCAUGUUGGCCAGCCUGGUCUCAAACUCCCGACCUCAGGUGAUCCACCUGCCUCAGCCUCCCAAAGUGCUGGGAUUACAAGCGUGAGCCACUGCGCUCGGUGACUCUAUCCUUUAGAGCAGGGGUUGACAAGCUAUGGCCUAAGAGCUAAAUCCAACCAGCCCGUUUUUACACAAUUAUGGGGUAAGAAUGGUUUUACUUUUUUUUUUUUUUUUUUUUUUUGAGAUGGAGUCUCUCUCUGUCACCAGGCUGGAGCACAGUGGCGCGAUCUCAGCUCACUGCAACCUCCACCUCCCGGGUUCAAGCGAUUCUCCUGCCUCAGCUUCCCGAGUAGCUGGGACUACAGGCAUGCGCCACCAUGCCCAGCUAAUUUUCGUAUUUUUAGUAGAGACGGGGUUUCACCACGUUGGCCAGGAUGGUCUCGAUCUCUUGACCUCGUGAUCCGCCCACCUUGGCCCUCCAAAGUGUUGGGAUUAUAGGCGUGAGCCAUGGCGCCCGAUCUGGUUUUACAUUUUUUAAAGGGUUGUAAAAAACAAAAUGUGACAGAAUCCAUACAUCCCACAAAGCCUAAAAUAUUUACUACCUAGCCCUUUACAGAAAGGUUUGCCAACCUUAGCUUUACAGUAAUAAAUUUUAAAAUGUGGACACUAUAAUCUUAAAUCAAUAAAUGUUUUAAAUGAGUUAAUUUAUUAAAUCAUUUCCUGUACUGCAGCCAAGAUUAAAUCCAGGAAAAAGUUGUUAAACCUUGAAAUUAGAAGUUUUAUAGAAAUUGCUUCAUGAAAAGAUUCUAAGGAAAAAAAACAGAAAUUACUGCCAAUUCUGGGAGUAUUCUGAAGAACCCAUUUUUAAAUUUCACUAAUCCUAAAAUUGUUCUACACAGAUGUUCCCCGACAUAUAAUAAAGUCCCAAUCAACCCAUUGUAAGUUGAAAAUAUAAAUCAAAGAUAAAUUUAUCAGCCUGGCCAACAUAGCAAGACCUUAUCUCUACUAAAAAUAAAAAUUUAAAAAUUAGCCAGGCAUGGUGGCACUGCCUGUAGUUCCAGCUACUCUGUGGCUCAGGUGAGAAGACUGCAUAAGCCCAGGAAAGUCAAGACUGCAGUGAGCCAUGAUUGUACCACUGUACUCCAGUGUAGGUGACAGAGCAAGACCUAGUCUCAAACGAACAUUUCAUGCACCUAACCUACUGAACAUCAUAGCUUACCUAGCCUACCUUAAACAUGCUCAGAUCAGUUAGAUUAGCCUACAGUCGGGGAAAACCACUUGGCAACACAGUAUACUGAAUGGGAACUAUGGCUCACUGCCACUGCCCAACAUCACAAGAGAGCAUCAUACCAUGUAUCAGGAGCCUGGGAAAGACCAAAAUUCAAAAUACAACAUACAGUGUCUACUGAAGGUGUUUCUACUGAAUGAAUAUGGCUUAUACAACAAAAAUUUUAAGUCAAACCAUCAUAAGUUGGAGAUCAUCUGUACUUCCAAGAUAUAUAUCACCUACUCAGGGACAUUCUAUUUUAGCAUGAGACCAAAAGAAAAUCAUCAAUUAUUAAUAGCUACAUAAUAAACCCUACCCUUGCUAAUCUUGUACUAACUUAAUACUGAUCUAAGUUGAAAUUCUGUUACCUUACAGGAUCUAUAACAUUAAUUUUUUUUAACUUUUUAAAAAGUGACAGAUAAUAGUGUACAUUACCAUGUGCAACACGAUGUUUUGACAUAUAUACACUGUCCAAUGUUUAAAUUCAACCAAUUAACAAACGUAUUACCUCAGUUAUCACUGUGGUGAGAACAUUAACAUCCACCCUUUGCAUUUUUCAAGAAUACAUUGUAUCAUUAACUACAGUAACCUUGUUGUACAAUAGAUUUCUUAAAUAAACAUUUUACCUUUCAAUCAACAUAGGAAAUCUGUCAUUAGCUCAAAGCAGUUUUGAUUUAGCAAAUUAUUUGUAAACUAUGGAUGUACCUCCCAUUUCAAAAUACAUAAUGUAUAUCUUUUGUUUCAAGAGAUUUAUACCACAGCGAAGUUUAACAAACAGGGCUCAGACAAUACCUUUUUUAAAGUAAUAAUUUAAUAUCAAAAUUUUUAAAAGAGUAAGCUAUACAAGCCAUUACUUCCUAUAACCUUCAAAAAUAUUUCAAUAUUGAGCCCCCAAAUCCUAAAAAUUAACUUGGCUACAGAUGAUAAAUUUCAUACAGUGAGAUGGAAAGAAAAUUACCAGGUGGUCCAAAGACCCUCUUUGAGUUUUAAUGAGUAUUAUUUUUUAAAGUCAUUUGGUUAUCUACUCCAUACUUCACAAAACGAGAAUGACCCAGAUUUCAAGUUACCAUGAGUUUCAGUCUUCACUCUGUGUGGGGGAAAAAUCAGCCUUCAUCUGUUUAAGCCAAUCACUUUAACAUCUAUGACCCUCAGAUAAUGCAUUUACAGUAUAAGAAAAGGAGUGGUCUAGACUCUAAAAGGUUUCUAAGGAAGGUCUCUAUCCAUCUCUAAAAUCCUGUUACUGUAACCAAGAUUUUUAAAAACAUUUAUGACCUGCCUCAUUUCAAAUAGAAUCUGCUGCAGUUCACAUCUCACAUCCAAAUAUAACCACCAAAAAAGACUAAACAAAAACAACAACAAAAAAGUAUAAUACAACAGCACACACAGAACACAUGAGAACCAGAGCCAAAAGAAAAAGAGAAGCAAAGGUAAUGUUAGUAAUUAGCCCCAAUAUAUUCCCAAUAUUACCAGCCUACAUUAUUUUACACAAACAUAUUUUUCCUACUGUUUUAAGAGAAAGGGGUGGGGGGAAACAACAAAAGAGAAGGGGGUCUCAUUCUUGCCCAGGCUGGAAUGCAGUGGCUAUUAACAGGUGCAAUCAUAGCACACACUACACCCCUGAACCUCUGGGCUCAAGCAAUCUCCCACGUAGCUAGGUCUACAAGCAUACCAAACAUCACACCUGCCUAAUUUUAAGUCAGACCACUGACAGAAGCCAUUUCUUCCUUUCAAACUAUCCUCCCAAAAGAUGAGGAAACCAUUCCCUAAGAGAAGUCUUUUAAGAAAUACCUCUUGUUUUAAGCCAUCCAAAAAGCAAAUACAGUAAGCAUGUUUCAUUUUGAAAGAAAAAUAGAAAGCUGCCUACAAAAUCAAUUUGUAUCAAGAAGUCAUUUUUCCAGUAAUUUCUUCAAGUUUACUUCUUGAACUUUGAAAGAUAAGCUUUCCUUCCCACUGGAUGCCAGAGGAAGUGACUGAAUGCUCAAGCUGGCCAUUCAUAGGCACUCCAACCCUCUCAGGGCUCCAGGGCCAGGCAUGGAAAGUACAACUGCAGUCCAGGGAGGCCUGCAGCAGCUAACGCCUUCUUCAGAUUUUCUCCUUAUCGAGUCAAUUUUGGAAUUUCCUUAGUUUGAGAAUUUCAAACAAAGGGCCUUGAAUUUGCAAGAGGCAAGCACUCUCAUCUCUUAGUUUUUGAGGACUCAAUUAAAUACGAAAAAAAAACCUUCUUAAAAAUGGUAAUUACCUUCAAACUUCUUUGAAAAUUUAGAUUAAAUGACACAACCAAAAAAGAAUUCAAGGGAAAAUUAUCCCUGUAAAGAGUACUGUAGGUUACACAGAAUUACAAAGAUCUCACACAUUACUUUAAAAAUACAUGGUCAGGGAAAGGUUUAAAAUCAUCAAGAUUGUACUUCCUUUUCAUGGAAAUAAACCAUACACAGAAGUUAUUACAUUAAUAAGUUGGCUGAAUCACUAAAUCAAAGUACAGGUCAAAUAAAACCCUAGAAAAAAGUAAAAGCUCAAAAUAGCUAUCAAUAAGUAAACUUUUCAGCAGCAAACUUUCAUUUUACCAUAAAAGAGAAGCAACUGAGGAGAGACACAUAUUGAACUUGCUUCACGUGCCUCCUUUGCCUUGACUAUAAGCCUCGUGUUUCCAGUAGAGAGCUAAGGAGCAGAAUGGCACUAGAGGAGUGCGUUUUCACUAGAGAAGCACUGCCUCUAAUACUCCCCUCUGGGGUGACUCCAUGACUUUCAGUAGCUCAAUUUCCUCAACAACUGAAACAGCUGUUUUAGAAAAUAAGCCAACUCAUCUACAGGCCUUAAGUUAUACAACUGCAGAGAGAAGAGGUGCCAAGUUCAGGAAGCCCAACAGAGACCAAAUCAGAGCCAGACGCUGGGGAACUCCAGGUUUAAUAUGCCUUCCACUACUCACUUCCACACUCCAAGAAAUGUCUCCAACCUUUCUGAGAGUUCUUUAUGGCUCAGAAUUUCUCCUUAAGAUUUAAAGACCCAAUUACUUCAAGGAGCAGCCACCAAGAUUCCAGGCCAGCUUUAACCCAGAAGUCCUCCUCUAGAGCUGCAGUAAGAUGUAUGAAUGCUACUGGGAAACUGUAGAGCACUUCCAAAACAUCAGACAUUUUCUAAAGAACAGAAAGCUACACUUAAUUCACAUUAUUGAAAAGCUGCCAAACCACUGAUUUUUAGACUUUAUUAGUCAAGUCAACGCUAUGGUAAACUAUAUUUCAAUAAAGCCACUAAAAAAAUACAGAGUUUCCAAAUUCCUAACAGUUAAAAAGGAUAAAGGGCGGAGACUAAGCUCAGAUCUGUUUCAAUCUCUCCAUAUUAAAAUGAAUGACUGCUGGUACAGACAGCAGAGACUAAACAAUUAUUUGUGGUGCAAUCACUGCAUCUUAAAACCCUCAAGAGGAAACAGCCUGAGAGGGUAGUCUCCAAAAUGAGAAACUUCACUUUGAGACAAUCAAAAGAACAAAACGAAGUCACAGUGCUACUCCCACCGCUGCUCUUUCAAUUAUAAUUUACUAACAUCAAGUGAUUAAAAUCUGCAGCCAGAAAAGAUCAUAAUGUAGGACAACAAAGUAGGAACUGAUCCCAAAACGCUAGACAGUAUUCUCCCAAUAUAAGUGCUGCCUUUUCGUACAGUGUAUUCUAGCUCCAAUGGGACUUGUAAAUCACUUAUAAGGAAAAGAAGCCCCUUCCCCCACCAACCCAAGCCAUCCUAAUAGCUGGGCGUGUUUUACAGCAAAUAUGAAGCACUCAGGAGCGGUCCGAGGCCGACGCUUGCGGGGCCAUCCUCCCCCACCCGCCCGUCACCAGGGCGAGCAGAGGCCUUUGGGGUUCCAUGGCCCCCGACCGCCACGCGGCAGGACUCCGACCCCGCAGCCCAGGAGGCCCGCGCACCUCUGGGAGCAGCCGCAUCUGGCAGAGACUCAGGGCUGCGCAGGCCUUCCCCAAGGAGACAGAGGCUUCUCCCCGCCCAGGGAGCCCAGUACCUCAUGCUGUAAGCGCCGGCGCCCAGUUCCUGCCCGAUGCCC
RNAcentral lists this long non-coding RNA (6544 nucleotides) under Homo sapiens (human). RNAcentral describes it as "HSALNT0052802". Lineage: Eukaryota; Metazoa; Chordata; Mammalia; Primates; Hominidae. The record is from RNAcentral.